GGCUACUAGAAAAUGUUAAUUAACUCUUAGACAUGUUCACAUUAUUCCUAUCAGGCAGUGCCCCUGGCUAGCAUUACUAGGUGCUCCGUACACAGCUGGGAGCUGCAGACCUUUUCCUGGUAAACAGCUCCUCCAAAGUGAAAGUGAGUAAAUACCAGGUUCUGGGGCUGGGCUGCCUCACAGGUCACUGUCCCCAGGUGUAAACAGCUGAUAACAGCUUAAACUGCAGGCAUUCCCUGAGGAGAUGCACACUGUAAUUGCAACUUUCUAGCCAGCAGACAAACACAGGCUUUUUAAUCCAGCCUUGUGACCUUCCAGAAGAAAAUUUCUCUUAGAAAUCAAAAGUGGGGGAGAAGGGACAACAAAACGGCCUUGGGCAUCCCCUGGCUCACAGCCUGACCCGGCAUUGAGGAAAACACACUUUUUAGUGCCAAACAGUGUCACAGAUUCAGGCCUCUUCUUUCUGGAUCUGAACCAUUUGCAUUCAGCCAGAGACACCAUAGGUUGUGCGUAAGUGUGCCCUGGGUAUGAUCCAGUGAGUGCUUCUCACUGUCUUCCUCCCAAGCCUACCAAAGAAUGGCAGAUGCUAGGAUGAGAACCUGCAGUGGGCAGAGGCUGGCUGCUUGUUUGGAUGUGAAACAGAACCCUUCCAGACCUCUGGGGAAGAAGCAGAGGUGGGGAAGGGAGCUGGGAGCCCAGGAGGGCUGAUGUUAUGGCUGUGUCUAGAUGUUCCCCCAGAGCCUCCUGCGGUCACAGGUGGGGCUCUUUCAGAGGUGGCUGGAUCUUGAGUGUCUGACACUGGAAUUGAUUCAAGGUGCAAUGCUAGGUUCAGUGGCAGUGGGAUUACAGGUGUGAGUGCUACCCGCCCUAAGUGGUCUGGAUAAGAUAAAAGGGGCAGAAAGACUGUUAAGGUCUCUUGUGGCUUUUUGGUGUCUUCUGGCUGCAAAUGAACUGUUUCUUCUGUGUGAUGCCACCCUGCCUUGGAGCCAGCUGACUAUGGACAGAAACCUCUACAAACUAUGAGCUAAAUAAAC
Molecule: long non-coding RNA, 1034 nt
Organism: Heterocephalus glaber (naked mole-rat)
Lineage: Eukaryota; Metazoa; Chordata; Mammalia; Rodentia; Bathyergidae
Source: Ensembl